RNAcentral lists this ribosomal RNA (460 nucleotides) under uncultured bacterium. RNAcentral's name for it is "partial 16S ribosomal RNA". It matches the Rfam family "Bacterial small subunit ribosomal RNA", at positions 338 to 795 of the family's 1533-position model. The record is from RNAcentral.
CCUACGGGAGACAGCAGUGAGGAAUAUUGGUCAAUGGGCGGGAGCCUGAACCAGCCAAGUAGCGUGAAGGAUGACUGCCCUAUGGGUUGUAAACUUCUUUUAUAUGGGAAUAAAAUGUUCCACGUGUGGGAUUUUGUAUGUACCAUAUGAAUAAGGAUCGGCUAACUCCGUGCCAGCAGCCGCGGUAAUACGGAGGAUCCGAGCGUUAUCCGGAUUUAUUGGGUUUAAAGGGAGCGUAGGUGGAUUGUUAAGUCAGUUGUGAAAGUUUGCGGCUCAACCGUAAAAUUGCAGUUGAAACUGGCAGUCUUGAGUACAGUAGAGGUGAGCGGAAUUCGUGGUGUAGCGGUGAAAUGCUUAGAUAUCACGAAGAACUCCGAUUGCGAAGGCAGCUCACUGGACUGCAACUGACACUGAGGCUCGAAAGUGUGGGUAUCAAACAGGAUUAGAUACCCUUGUAGUC